Molecule: long non-coding RNA, 926 nt
Organism: Dromaius novaehollandiae (emu)
Lineage: Eukaryota; Metazoa; Chordata; Aves; Casuariiformes; Dromaiidae
Exons: 4
Source: RefSeq, a predicted model, not a curated record
GCAGAGGUUGAGAUUUCUGGCAGAACUGUAUCUUGUGUAAUUCCUCUCCUCAGCUUUUGUUUAUAAAGAUGCAGAAGGAGCUGCUGAAUAGAGAUAGAAGAUUCAGUGCUGCUGCAUCUACAGGCAGAUGAAAUGGCCAGGAAAAGUUGUGUCUCCACAUGGCUUUCAUGACCACCCUCUCUGGAGAUGCCUCUAACUACCCAGAGGGAACCCAGCCCCAGCUCAGGUACUGAGAACAGCCUCACUGGCUUUGUCCCUCCUGUUUCCAGUGGACCUCAAGCCCUUCCUUCUUGCCGAUCUCAAGCCAGCCACAAGCUCACCAUGAUGCUUUCUGGUGAUGCAGUAUCACAGUUAAGACACUUAUCAUCCUGUUCUCCCUCUGCACAAAAGCAGUAUCCAUACGUGGCUGCACAUACAGAGUGUUCACAUGCCUCGGAAAAUAGCAAUGUCUGCAUAGCGUGAAAGGUGAUUCCUGCAAGCAUAAAUCCACUGCAGUAUCCAUCCAGCACUGGAAUAUUCUAAACGAGGAGAAAUGAUGGGGCUCAUUAGAACUGUGUGACCUUUCAGCAUUCUCUGUAAAAAUUGCUGCAUGCAGGGGGACGAAUCCUGCUGUACUUUAUGCACAUAUCACUGUAAACACAAUGUCUGUGUCAGAAGAAGAAAAACCACAACAAUGUUCAAGUACUUUAUGUAUUUUCAGUUAUUUGUGUAGUUUCUUGUGCUUUGUGAGUGGCGAAUAAAAUGGUGGCCAUAUUAUGUGAGAAUAUUAGGAGUCGAGGGUUUAGUCUUAAGAUGUAUCUAGAACCCCCUAAUUCAGUGGAAUUUGUGAGUGCUCAGUAUUUCUUCAAGUGUUUGAGUAAUCCUAUUAAUCAACUGUUGAAGAAAGUAUUAAAAGAGUCAAUAAGCUGAAAAGGUAUUUCAAAAUA